GCUGCCACCGGCGGGGAGGCGGGAAGCCGUUCCGCCUGGAGGCUCGCGCGCCUUUGGAAUGGAAUCGUCGAGCUGUGGGGAAUCUACGCCGCUGUAGCCUGACUGCCAGUCAGUUCAGUUCAGGCAGAUGGCCACUUGGGGGGAAUGCCGUGUGAAAUGACUCCAAUAUUUUGGAGAUGAAUCCAUCGAGGUUUUCUAUGGUCUCGGCUAAUGCUUUUUACCCUUUUGGGGGAUGAGAGGGACAGAUCAAACCGUAUUAACAUACACCGUUACCACCUGCUAUUGUGUCUGAGGCUGUGAAGACAGGCAGGCCGCGUUUUAGGCUCAGCGUCGCACCGUGGUUCCUCGUCGGCAAGGUGGGGAUCAUAGCGCUCAGGCUCCGGAGCUGCGUUGUCUGUGCUGCCUGCGGCGCACUAGAGGGCUGACCUCCUCACUAGCGGGGUGACUUCGGGCGACUGAAAUUCCCCAAGCCUCAGUUUCCUGGCCUACGAUAGGAAUAACAGUAGUACUUGCAAUUUAGCUUCUUCAGCAGUGUGUUGUCAAACUUGGAUUUUUGCCAGUCUGAUAGAUAAUCCGGAGGUCUCUCCACAUGAAUACAUAGGAUCUUCAUUCAUUUUCUCAAUUGCAUAGGACUCCGGUGUAUGGAUGUACCAUCCUUUGUUCCGCUCAUUUCCCUGUUGAUAGA
Molecule: long non-coding RNA, 685 nt
Organism: Diceros bicornis minor
Lineage: Eukaryota; Metazoa; Chordata; Mammalia; Perissodactyla; Rhinocerotidae
Exons: 3
Source: RefSeq, a predicted model, not a curated record